Molecule: ribosomal RNA, 465 nt
Filed under: uncultured bacterium
Lineage: Bacteria
Description: partial 16S ribosomal RNA
Rfam family: Bacterial small subunit ribosomal RNA
Source: RNAcentral
GACGAACGCUGGCGGCGUGCUUAACACAUGCAAGUCGAACGGAAAGGCCCUGCUUGCAGGGUACUCGAGUGGCGAACGGGUGAGUAACACGUGGGUGAUCUGCCCUGCACUUCGGGAUAAGCCUGGGAAACUGGGUCUAAUACCGGAUAGGAGCCAUUUUUAGUGUGAUGGUUGGAAAGUUUUUUCGGUGUAGGAUGAGCUCGCGGCCUAUCAGCUUGUUGGUGGGGUAAUGGCCUACCAAGGCGGCGACGGGUAGCCGGCCUGAGAGGGUGGACGGCCACACUGGGACUGAGAGACGGCCCAGACUCCGACGGGAGGCAGCAGUGGGGAAGAUUGCACAAGGGGCGCAAGCCUGAUGCAGCGACGCCGCGUGGGGGAUGACGGCCUUCGGGUUGUAAACUCCUUUCGCUAGGGACGAAGCUUUUUGUGACGGUACCUAGAUAAGAAGCACCGGCUAACUACGUG